CACACACACACACACACACACCCCACAUCGCUGUACACUUCCACAAAUUUAACUUGACAAAAAAGACCCAAAAUAUUUUUCAGUGCUCUCAAUGGAACUAUGGAUGUUGAAUUCAGAAUGCUGCUGCUGCUGAUAUUGAAUAUUACAGAUCUGAGGGGGCUCAUGAAGGAAUCGGGGUCUCUUUCUGGGUGAACCCCAACAAUUUGGUGUCAGAAGUGGGAUACUGCCAACCAGGUGAGUAAAUUAUUUUAAGUAAAUUAUUUUAAUUUUAAUUUGAUUGGUUAUUGAUUGGUUGCCGCCUGGUUGGUAGUAAUUUAAAAAAAAAAAAAAGAGAUCCAUAAUUCAGGUUGGUAAACCUCGUGUAGAGGCACGGGACGUUUUGGAACCUCGUAGACUUUUUAGACUUUUGUCUACGGGACGUGACGGGGCUGGUAGAGCCACGGGAUUGGACUGGUAAACCUCGUAAUUUACGGGACGGUGAGCCUCGUGAAGACACUCCAAGGGGGAGAACUGUCACGAGAAGAGCGCGCUUUUAAUCUUUGAUUCCUUCGUGCAGCCACCAUGGGGGGAAAAAUUGUAUUAUAUUAAUUGUAUUAUAUUAAUUGUAAUAUAUUAAUUGCAUUAAGGUACCCGGACCCCGAGAAAAACCCACGGGAUUGGAUGUGGUUUAGCAUUCUACACAGAUUCUAGACAAUUUGGCCGGCUCAGUUUUGAUUUAUCCUCAUCCAGGUAUUUGCAAUCUCUGGGAGCUGUGUAAUGUAUCUUUAAUUGUUUUAGCAUUUAUAUAAGGCAUUACUGGAUAUGCACAAAAUAAUGAAACAAUAAAUCAGUACUCUGGACAUGAACAGUUAGAACUGUGUUCCUGGUGUGCAUAAAUGUUAAACCUUUGGUCAAUCAAACCUGUAUAACCAACUUCCAAAGUCCUUAUUUCCCUUAUAAAAUCCUUAUAAGAUGCAAAUUAAAAUGAUUUACCUAAAAUUUGAAUGAUAAUUAACAAUAAUAUAUCCCAGGUACUUUUUAUUCAAUAAACUUUAAGAAUGAAUACAAGCUUCAAUGUUUGACAAAAAAACCACAAAGUGUAAAUGUUAUGUGCUCUUUUCUCUAAAUAAAUAUUGAAGUGUUUUUUUGUUAAAAAGAAUCCGUAUAACUUUAUUUGUACGCCCGUAUACUAUGUUUAUCGACUCAAAUCCGUAUAAAAUACGGACAUUCUGUAUAUUGUGCAUUUUAAUCUCAAAGAAAGCUUCACUGAAUCGAUUCUUUAGAACAAACUCGCAUGCGUGUGAAUCAAUUUACUUGAUUCACUCUUGAUUCUUGACUCAGAAACUACGGAAACCUUAUUUGUAUUCCUGUUUUCAAAUUGUAAACAAUAAUCACACUUUCAUGCUGCAUGAAAUUAAAGUAUGAACUUUCCUCAACCCAUUACGUGUGCAUGAACUCAACAAAUGCCGUUGAUGCGUCUGUAUCGAUUCGCUCGAUCGAGUCAUUUAUGUUUCGUCCCGAAGAAGAUCCGAAUCGUCUGUGAAUCUCAUCACUGUUAGAAAUCCAAGAGAAGAGAUCCUCUUCCCUUAACAUCAUCAGAGGAAAAAUCUGCUUCUUAAUCAAUUAGUUUCAGCGUUUGUCUCUUCUAGGCGUGGUGAGACCGUGCACCAGUUCGUACCUGGCGUUUUACACAAGAUUUACGUAAGAUUAAUGAAUUGAUUGUUUCUUCUGUAAUAUCACAGGUUCCUGCCAUUAAUGAUCUCUGUUCUGCCUUUUUUCCCACGCACAUGAGGAGAUAGUGUUUGGACUCAAGGUUUCAUUUGACUCUCCUGCUGUUUUUUUUUUCAGCUGUAAUUCAUAACGUGCUCUGUGACCUUCUCCCUCCCUCAGGACUCUGUGGUCUGUGUGUUCUGGUGUCUGCUGGUGACACUUGCGCCUGCUCCAACAUCUGGCGCAUAAGGGCUUUAAGGUUUCCAGAACCAAGCUGCAAUAUUGUAUGGACACUUAAGUAUUUGAACUUUUGAAGUUUUGAACUUUCUCAAGGCUGUCAUUCUAGACACAAAACCUCCUCCACUGCAACAUCCUUUGACCUGGACUGACGCUAUGGUGGUCGCUUAUCACUCCCUCAGAAGCACCCUUUGUUCCGCCCCUGGGUUACCUGCUCACUUCAAGCCCUUCCACCUCUAUGCCUGUGGACACCGGGGCACGGCCUCUGGGGACCAUGAGGGGGGGGAGGUGCAUCAUUGUGCGUUUUUAUCCAAAACAUUAGACAUUGUUGCUCAAGGCUUACCUGCGUGUCUGGGGGCUGUCUCCGCAUGUGCUUUGAUGGUUUUAGAUGCGGAUUGGGUUUUGUCUCGCCCAUUAAUCUUGCACUCGUCACACCAAGUUAAACAGGUGUUGCAAAAUUGACAGACCCAUUAAAUUAAUUAAUCAGUAAUUUAAUAGAUAAUUAGAUUAACAUAUGACUUUAUUCUCUGUUCUACUAACAAUCUCGAAAUUCGUGUCACAUCCUCUUUUGAUAAUGUAGGUCGCACUCUCGCACGCCUCCUUAAUUCUCGGGAUGAUGCUUGGGAUGACAUUGAUAUUGUCUGUCUAAAAAUCGUACAUACUACUAGUAUCAGGUAUAAUUUUUGUUGAUGGUUCUUGUUCAAAACCCUCAGAUGGUUCUUGUUUUAUAAUUUAUAAUAUUAUCACACCUCUGUGGUUAUUCUGUGUGUUCAAUCAAUAUCAGCCUGAUAUUCUGCAUAAGACAUAUGCUCUUUCUUUCUCAUUUGAUUUUUGUCAUCUUGAUUGUGGACAAAUUCUCUAAAUGGGUAGAAGUUUUUCCCUGUUCUCGAGAGAACACGAAGGUAGUUACUCAUUUUGAUACCUAGUUAUAAUAAUAAUAAUGAUACAUUUUAUUUAUAAGUGCCUUUCAAGGUACCUAAGAACACUGGACAGUAAAAAAGAAAAACAAACAAUAAAAGCAGAACAAUAAAAUAAUAAGAAAUCAAUAAUAAUAAUUAUUAUUAUAGUUAUGGGGUUUCAAAUGCCAUAGACUCAGACAAGGGUACCCGUUUUACCUCAAAAGUCACACAAAACCUUUGUAAGUAUCUCUAAACUAAACUGGUGUUUUCACAUUCCUCAAUCCUCUGGUAUCGUAGAACGUACUAAUCGAACAUUGAAAGACAAAUUAAUUAAGGUCAUGCAGGACACAGGUUUGGUUCCGUAAUCCAUAAUUCAUUCUGGCUGAAAUUCGUGUGACACCAAGAAAUUAUUUUUGGGAAUAAAGUUCUCCCCUGGAAGAAGGGAACUCCGGCUCCGGGUACCUCUGAUUUAAAAAUGCAUAUGGAUGAGUAUUCUGCAGCCCUUAUAGAUAAGUUGCAUAAAAUUUGUACCAAGGUCAAUAAUACAAUAUUAUCUCCACCACACACCCCUUUCACGUGGGAGACAGGUGCUGGUAUGACUUUUUAAAGUAAUGAUUUGGACAAUUGGGAAAACAAUAUAAUGGGCCUGCAGACAUAGUCGCCAUUACUUUUGCUGCUGUUUUAACUGAUCUUUUUCCACAGUGGAUCCAUGCCACUCGAUUGAAGAAGGCUCCAUAACAAAGUUGUGUUACAAUAACAAGUUUGCUGCUAUUAACGCUUUUUGUGUCCCUAUCUAGUCUCCCUCUGGCCAGUUUUCUCUCUCUCUAUUUCUGAGCUCUGCACAGAUUCGACUGAGAAUCCUCAAGACGUGGUGAACAAAGAGAGAUCUUGCGCCCCGUUUGGAACCAGUCAUCCUCACUACAACCAUGACAGUCCUCAUCACGGAUUUCGUGACUUCAUUGUUGCUCGGGGCAGGGCUACCCGCCCGAGCCUUCGUGACUGCUUCAUCUUUGCUCGGGGCAGGGUUACCCGCCCGAGCCUUCAGGACCACUUCAUUGCUCGGGGCAGGGUUACCCGCUCGAGCUGGACUUCGAGACAACAUCUUCUGGACUAACUUCGCUAACUGGACUGCACAAGCGCACACCACACGAAUGUGUUAUGUCUUUCAUCUGAUGCCGUUUUCUACUAUUAUUACACAUCUCUAUGCUCUGAAACUCUGUAUUCUUACAGGACUCUGUUCUCACUAUAGGUCGAUAUGCCUUCUAAUUUCAUUUUUCCCUCACUGUUUUAGAACAAAUUAUUCUGAAGGAAGUGUAUUUGGGAAUUAAGAGGUUUUGAGUUUCUCUAAGCUCCGGUGAGGUGGGACGAGGGCUGAUUGGGCAUGCCCGCCCUCUGAGCACCAAUAUAUGUCAAGAAGGGCAAGAUUAACUCACGAUUAAUUCUCGAUGUAAUCACAUAUGACCAUGAGGUGAUAAUAUAUGGUCCUAGGAUUUGAUAAUAGUGAUACUAUUAUCAAAGGGGGGGAUUGUUGGGUUUGUAUGAGUGUUAUUCUUAUUAUUCUUAUAAGUAUUAUUAUUAAAAUGGUGACAAAAUUAAGGAUUAACUUAAGGUUCAGUUAAAAAUGACCUUCUGUCUCGGCUAGACAUUGUUUGGGAACAUUUUUUUUAUGAAAUGUGUAUUUUGAACAGAGAAGUGUCUGAAGGACCCACCAAGGUCUGUUUUAGUGUCAGAUCGACCCACACACACACUUUAAUGUUGGAUGUAAUGGUAGCCUUAUUGCUGAACAAAGAGUUAAGACUCUUAUAUUUUUAUAGUAUUUAUUAUAGUAUAUAUUACUUAUAGUAUAUUUUAGAGCUUUUUAAGAUCCUUUAUUAUUUUGGACUAUUGCAUAUACUAUGGCAGUGAUUUUAAACUGUUCCUGUGUAGCCCGACCUUCGUCCAGUGGAGAAGAACACUUCUUUGUUAGACCAAACAUAGUCUUUGUUUAAAACAUUGUCGUAAAAACAUCUCGCGCGCUUUGACGUGCGUAAAUGAAAUUGCUGAAUUGCUGAAAUAUUAUUUUGCUUAUGAUUGAAGGUUUCAUUCACACACACAUACAUAUGGAAUUAAGAUGUGAUUUGCUGACCUAGCACAUAGACACAGAUAUCAAAAUGAUGUCACUCACUCACACCCUCCCAUAGACACACACACACACACACCCCUCUCUGAGGUCAUAUACAAACACACACACAUUUGACAGACACAAUAGCCGUUUGGAGAGAUUAUGAUUUGUUAUAAAAGGUGUUUGUAAUCUUUCAUCUUUGACGAAGUGACUGUGCGAAUAAACCGGCAUGUGAACUC
This is a long non-coding RNA of Neoarius graeffei (lesser salmon catfish), 5165 nucleotides long. RefSeq lists it as uncharacterized. The transcript has 4 exons. NCBI's taxonomy places the organism in Eukaryota, Metazoa, Chordata, Actinopteri, Siluriformes, Ariidae. The record is from RefSeq and is a predicted model, not a curated record.